Nannospalax galili (Upper Galilee mountains blind mole rat) is the source of this 978-nucleotide RNA transcript. It is a transcript of the gene named ADP-ribosylation factor 4 pseudogene, with no coding region annotated. The record is from RefSeq and is a predicted model, not a curated record. NCBI's taxonomy places the organism in Eukaryota, Metazoa, Chordata, Mammalia, Rodentia, Spalacidae. The transcript has a single exon.
CGCCAGAGUCUCGGCACAGCCGAACACUUAACGCCGAGCCGGAGCUGCUGCGCCAGUCGCCGAGCAGGUCCCCGUCCGGUUCCGUCGUGUCCUGCAGCCUCGCCGACGCGCCGGCCAGCCAGCGGCCCUCCUUCAGCCCUCGCUCCUCCGCCCGUUUGUGGUGAGCCGGACCUAGGAGGCCCGAGGACGCCCCCGACCCCGUGUGUCCGACACCAGUGCCAGUACUGCCAUGGGCCUCACCAUCUCCUCUCUGUUCUCCCGCCUCUUCGGCAAGAAGCAGAUGCGCAUUUUGAUGGUUGGAUUGGAUGCUGCUGGCAAGAUGACAAUUCUGUAUAAACUGAAAUUAGGGGAGAUAGUUACAACCAUUCCUACCAUUGGUUUUAAUGUGGAAACAGUAGAGUAUAAAAACAUUUGCUUCACAGUAUGGGAUGUUGGUGGUCAAGAUAAAAUUAGGCCUCUCUGGAGGCAUUAUUUCCAGAAUACCCAGGGUCUUAUUUUUGUGGUGGAUAGUAAUGACCAUGAAAGAAUUCAGGAAGGAGCAGAUGUGCUGCAGAAAAUGCUUCUGGAGGAUGAUCUGCAAGAUGCAGUGCUGCUACUUUUUGCCAACAAACAGGAUUUGCCAAAUGCCAUGGCCAUCAGUGAAAUGGCAGAUAAGUUAGGACUUCAGUCGCUUCGUAACAGAACAUGGUAUGUCCAAGCCACUUGUGCUACACAAGGAACUGGUCUGUAUGAGGGACUCGAUUGGCUGUCAAAUGAACUUUCAAAACGUUAAACGAAACUGGAUAUCUAACCAAGGACAUGUUUGAUAGAAUUGGUCUAUAGGCUUAUUACAACAAAAUUAGUUUGCAUCUUGGUUAUUAAAUGAUAUCUGGGACUAAGGUUUGGGCAGACUAUUACAGCGUUUAAAACUUAUUUUGUUGCCAAUUAUUGUUUACCAAGCAUGUUGCUAUUUAGCAAUAUGCUUGGUUUUAAAAGAAU